RNAcentral lists this small RNA (133 nucleotides) under Marmota monax (woodchuck). The record is from RNAcentral. Lineage: Eukaryota; Metazoa; Chordata; Mammalia; Rodentia; Sciuridae.
GCUGGGUGUAGUGGUGAAUGCCUGUAAUCCCAGUAACUCUGAGGUAGGAGGCUGAGGUAGGAGGAUCACAAUUUUAAGACCAGCCUCAACAAAUUAGCAAGGCCCUAAGAAAUUUAUUGAGACCCUGUCUCAA